UAAAAGAUAAGCUAAAAAAGCUAAUGGGCUCAUAUCUCAUUUAUGAUUUAUUCUCUUUUAA
Molecule: transfer RNA, 61 nt
Filed under: Metacrangonyx panousei
Lineage: Eukaryota; Metazoa; Arthropoda; Malacostraca; Amphipoda; Metacrangonyctidae
Description: transfer RNA Methionine
Source: RNAcentral